This 608-nucleotide ribosomal RNA is filed under the name uncultured Boletaceae. RNAcentral's name for it is "eukaryotic LSU rRNA". It matches the Rfam family "Eukaryotic large subunit ribosomal RNA", at positions 54 to 651 of the family's 3401-position model. The record is from RNAcentral. Lineage: Eukaryota; Fungi; Basidiomycota; Agaricomycetes; Boletales; Boletaceae.
GAGAAAAGAAACUAACAAGGAUUCCCCUAGUAACUGCGAGUGAAGCGGGAAAAGCUCAAAUUUUGAAUCUGGCGGUCUUUGCGGACCGUCCGAGUUGUAAUCUAGAGAAGCGUCUUCCGCGCCGGCCCGUGUACAAGUCUCCUGGAAGGGAGCGUCUUAGAGGGUGAGAAUCCCGUCUCUGACACGGACCACCGGGGCUAUGUGAUGCGCUCUCGACGAGUCGAGUUGUUUGGGAAUGCAGCUCAAAAAGGGUGGUAAACUCCAUCUAAAGCUAAAUACUGGCGAGAGACCGAUAGCGAACAAGUACCGUGAGGGAAAGAUGAAAAGGACUCUGGAAAGAGAGUUAAACAGUACGUGAAAUUGCUGAAAGGGAAACGCUCGAUGUCCAGUCGCGUCGUCCGGGGGUCAACCUUGCUUCACUGCUCGGUGUAUUUCCUGGUCGACGGGUCAGCAUCAGUUUCGGUCGUCCUACAAGGGCCGAGAGGAAAGUGGCACCCUUCCGAGGGUGUGUUAUAGCCUUUCGGUCGUAUGCGGCGACCGGGACUGAGGAGACUCGGCACGCCUCGCGGUGCGCUAGAGAUGAUGGCAUAAUGGCAUUGAGCGACCCG